Molecule: ribosomal RNA, 590 nt
Filed under: Vibrio sp. MR11-47
Lineage: Bacteria; Pseudomonadati; Pseudomonadota; Gammaproteobacteria; Vibrionales; Vibrionaceae
Description: bacterial SSU rRNA
Rfam family: Bacterial small subunit ribosomal RNA
Source: RNAcentral
CGUAAACGAUGUCUACUUGGAGGUUGUGGCCUUGAGCCGUGNCUUUCGGAGCUAACGCGUUAAGUAGACCGCCUGGGGAGUACGGUCGCAAGAUUAAAACUCAAAUGAAUUGACGGGGGCCCGCACAAGCGGUGGAGCAUGUGGUUUAAUUCGAUGCAACGCGAAGAACCUUACCUACUCUUGACAUCCAGAGAACUCGCUAGAGAUAGCUUGGUGCCUUCGGGAACUCUGAGACAGGUGCUGCAUGGCUGUCGUCAGCUCGUGUUGUGAAAUGUUGGGUUAAGUCCCGCAACGAGCGCAACCCUUAUCCUUGUUUGCCAGCACGUAAUGGUGGGAACUCCAGGGAGACUGCCGGUGAUAAACCGGAGGAAGGUGGGGACGACGUCAAGUCAUCAUGGCCCUUACGAGUAGGGCUACACACGUGCUACAAUGGCGCAUACAGAGGGCGGCCAACCAGCGAUGGUGAGCGAAUCCCAAAAAGUGCGUCGUAGUCCGGAUUGGAGUCUGCAACUCGACUCCAUGAAGUCGGAAUCGCUAGUAAUCGUGAAUCAGAAUGUCACGGUGAAUACGUUCCCGGGCCUUGUACACAC